Molecule: non-coding RNA, 488 nt
Organism: Erpetoichthys calabaricus (reedfish)
Lineage: Eukaryota; Metazoa; Chordata; Cladistia; Polypteriformes; Polypteridae
Source: the annotation of a RefSeq genome assembly
GUUUUCAUAUCAGCCACCCCUUUGUGACGCCCGUCUCGGUUGAGCAAUUUCGCUUGAGUUUAAAACUUUCUGUAUUUGCCUCACUGACAGUAUCUACAACCAUGAUGACACCACUGGUCCUGUUGUGUUCCCUUAUAUUCUUCACUAAAGACUCAAAUUGUCAGAUCUCUGUGAAUCAACCAUCAGCACCGAAAACAGUUUCUCCUGGGGGAAGUGUCACCUUCAGCUGUACCACUGGGAGUAAUGUGGGUAGCUACAUAAACUGGUAUCAGCAGAGACCUGGAGAAAAACCUAAACUCCUGAUUUACUAUGCAAGUAAUCGCUACGGAGAUACCCCAAGUCGCUUCACUGGCAGCGGGUCAGGAACUUCAUUCAGUUUGACUAUCAGUGGAGUGCAGCCUGAAGACGCCGGUCACUACUACUGUAUGCAGCAGGGCUACAGCUACCCUUUCGCACAGCGAUUGAGACUCGUACAAAAACCUCACUGA